Molecule: ribosomal RNA, 1887 nt
Filed under: Triticum aestivum (bread wheat)
Lineage: Eukaryota; Viridiplantae; Streptophyta; Magnoliopsida; Poales; Poaceae
Description: partial small subunit ribosomal RNA
Source: RNAcentral
AUGGCGGCGGCGGUGUUGGGGAGAGGGAGGUGGCGACCGGUGGUCGUCGCUGUGUUGAUGGUUGUUGCGGGGGUGGGCCAUGUCGUCGCCAACACGGAGGGUGAUGCUCUGUAUAACCUGCGUCAGAGUCUGAAGGAUAGCAAUAAUGUAUUGCAGAGUUGGGAUCCCACUCUUGUUAAUCCUUGUACAUGGUUUCAUGUUACAUGUAACAACGAUAACAGUGUAAUUAGAGUUGACCUUGGAAAUGCACAAUUAUCCGGUGUACUAGUGUCCCAGCUUGGGCAGCUGAAAAAUCUCCAAUAUUUGGAGCUUUACAGCAACAACAUAAGUGGGCCAAUACCUGCUGAACUGGGCAACCUAACUAGCCUGGUCAGUUUGGAUUUGUAUCUGAACAAGUUCACAGGAGUUAUUCCUGACAGCCUGGGGAAUCUUUUGAAGCUUCGAUUCCUCCGUCUUAACAACAACAGCAUGUCGGGUCAAAUUCCUAAAUCCUUGACUGAUAUCACUACUCUUCAAGUACUCGAUCUCUCAAACAACAACCUCUCAGGAGCAGUUCCAUCUACUGGCUCCUUUUCGCUCUUCACCCCUAUAAGUUUUGCGAAUAAUCCACUUCUUUGUGGUCCUGGUACCACAAAACCCUGCCCUGGGGAUCCUCCUUUUUCCCCACCUCCUCCAUACAAUCCUCCAACACCACCAACUCAAUCAGCAGGUGCCUCUAGCACUGGAGCUAUCGCAGGUGGCGUUGCUGCUGGUGCUGCACUGGUGUUUGCUGUUCCUGCUAUUGCAUUUGCAAUGUGGCGCCGUCGUAAACCUGAAGAACAUUUCUUCGAUGUGCCUGCCGAGGAAGAUCCAGAAGUUCAUCUUGGUCAGCUUAAGAAGUUCUCAUUGCGAGAGCUUCAAGUUGCAUCUGACAACUUUAAUAAUAAGAACAUUUUAGGAAGAGGUGGUUUUGGAAAAGUGUACAAGGGGAGGCUUGCAGAUGGUACAUUGGUAGCGGUGAAAAGACUAAAAGAGGAACGUACCCCUGGUGGCGAGCUUCAGUUCCAAACAGAAGUUGAGAUGAUUAGCAUGGCAGUGCAUAGGAACCUUCUCCGACUUCGUGGUUUUUGCAUGACACCUACUGAACGAUUACUAGUCUAUCCAUACAUGGCCAAUGGCAGUGUUGCAUCACGUUUGCGAGAGCGUCAGCCAUCUGAACCACCCCUUGAUUGGGAUACCAGAAGACGAAUUGCACUUGGAUCUGCAAGGGGACUCUCUUACUUGCACGAUCACUGUGAUCCCAAGAUCAUCCACCGUGAUGUCAAAGCUGCAAAUAUUCUUUUGGACGAGGAUUUCGAGGCGGUUGUGGGUGAUUUUGGGCUUGCCAAACUUAUGGAUUACAAGGAUACUCAUGUAACUACUGCUGUUCGUGGAACAAUUGGACACAUUGCUCCUGAGUACCUAUCCACUGGAAAGUCCUCUGAGAAGACUGAUGUUUUCGGCUACGGAAUCACACUUCUGGAGCUUAUUACUGGGCAGAGGGCAUUUGAUCUUGCUCGCCUUGCAAAUGAUGACGAUGUUAUGCUUCUUGACUGGGUGAAAGGAUUGUUGAAGGAGAAAAAAGUUGAGAUGCUGGUGGACCCAGACUUGCAGAGCAACUAUGAAGAGACCGAGGUGGAAUCUCUGAUCCAGGUAGCGCUGCUGUGCACGCAGGGCUCGCCAGUGGAGCGCCCCAAGAUGUCGGAGGUCGUGAGGAUGCUGGAAGGUGACGGCUUGGCAGAGAGAUGGGAGGAAUGGCAGAAGGUGGAGGUGGUCAGGCAGGAGGCAGAGUUGGCUCCUCUUCGCAACGACUGGAUUGUUGACUCCACAUAUAACCUCCGCGCCGUGGAACUGUCUGGCCCAAGAUGA